This is a long non-coding RNA of Xiphophorus maculatus (southern platyfish), 1023 nucleotides long. RefSeq lists it as uncharacterized. The record is from RefSeq and is a predicted model, not a curated record. NCBI's taxonomy places the organism in Eukaryota, Metazoa, Chordata, Actinopteri, Cyprinodontiformes, Poeciliidae. The transcript has 3 exons.
UUGACCAACAAAUAAAGCAGAAGACCUGCUCCACCUGCUGAUCUACUGGUUGGAAGAGAUUGUGGAAAAGCAUCACUAUAGGACAACAACUCUUGACCAAUGAGGAGAGAGAAGACACAGAGGACUGAGGAGAUGCAGAAAAUCCUGCUGGAAAUCAAUAAAAAUGUUUCCUGAUGAAACAGGGGGACGGCUGAGGACGGGACACAACAUAAAGAGACAGAGAUCAUGUGAAAUUCAAGGAUGGCCUUUCAACCCUGGAUUUCAUUUAUGCUUUGGAGCUUCAUGCUUCUGUGUUCAGGCCCUUUGUGUGCUGAAAAGCUGACAUCAGAAAUGUGAGAGGAAAUCUUUGAAGUUCAGCUCAGCGAAAAGGGCAGCACCAGACGACAAGAAGAAACCAGACUGCUAGGAUUCUCCUUGAGACAGACCAAACCUCGCUUUCCUGUUCAAACUCUGACAAGAUACCAAAGCCCAAGACAUACGAUCAGUUUCAAAGAAGACAUGAACUUUGAAUUACAAAACUUUUUGGACUUUAUUAAGUUCAAAUACAGAAUCACAAAACAUAAAUGUGGAUGUUGGCCUGUGAAGGCAGAUGUUAACUUGUGAAACCUGCUCUGUCAAAGUUCUGACUCUGUUGGGUUGUGGUUGCUUGACAACCUUUAAAUUUUAGACUCAUUUAUUUCCAAGUCCACCAUGUUUUCUAGUCUUGUGUAGUUUUCCACAUAGGAUUCCCAAGUUAGUGGAUGCACUAGGCCACUGUCUCUGGAGGUCCUCAAACUGUCCCUAAAGACGGUCAUGGCCACAUUGACUGCUGAUUGACUCGGUCAUAAACUGUCCCAAUUCCUCCUGGGAGUCUGGGAACCUACAGUCUGUUCUGCCAAACCCAGGAGUAAAAUAUGCAUCAAAACAGGACACAUAGUUUAGUUAUAUAUUUAUAUUUCUUCAUUCAACUGUCACUACCAACUGCUAUGACUAUUGUUGAAAACUGUUGUAAUGUUUAAUUGUAUUUACAUAUAAAUAUUAGAA